AUUAAAGUGGCAGAAAAGAAAAUGCCAGGAAUUUAAGCUUCCUAUAUGAUAUUAUUCCUUUAAUA
This 65-nucleotide transfer RNA is filed under the name Dermacentor reticulatus. Its description in RNAcentral is "tRNA-Leu". The record is from RNAcentral. Lineage: Eukaryota; Metazoa; Arthropoda; Arachnida; Ixodida; Ixodidae.